CCUGACCUUGUGAUCCUCCCGCCUAGGCCUCCCAAAGUGCUGAGAUUACAGGCAUGAGCCACCGUGUCCGGCCACCAGCUGAAGUUUUUCCAGAAUUGGCGGAAGAUGUCCGUCCUCACCUCAGGCAGCACAGUUUUCAAAACUACUGUACCUUUGUAUUCUAAAAUUGUGUCUCUCACCAAGCAUAUACUUAGCAGACAUUUGUUAAAUGAAUCUUAGAUACAUUAUGAUGAAACUAUCCAGCAUUAGAUAUGAAGAUAUAAUUUUUAAAUCUAAUACUCAUUUAGAUUGCUUACUAAGAAACAGCAACAAGGUGAAACAAAAUUUCCAACAAACACAGAGCUGGAUAAUUUCUUAGAAGGAAUGCUGGCAGAAAAUAAUUCUCCACCUAGAAUUAUAUAUCCAAAUAAUGAUAAUUUCAAAUUAUUAUUUAUAAUUUUGAAAAUAUUAAUGACACUAUUUUUGAUGGCCAAAUAAAAAAAAAGUUGAACAAAGUGCCUAAGGCUAGGAGAACAUUAUUGAAUAAAUUUUUUUAUUUUUAUUACCUUUCAGAAAGUAGACACAGAUCCUCCUAUGAUGUGUUAGAAUGAUUAAUGGGACCAGAAACUGCACAAAUAGUGGUGAAUCUAAACAAAUAUUGAUGACCUAUAAAUAUUCUAUACUGGAUAUUUUGUUGGAAAAAGUGAUGAAAUUAAGACACAGGGCACAAUGAUGUGUUAGAAGAGAGAUGGCUGAGAAGUCAUGAAAUAAUAUUUUACGUUGCUCACAAAGUGCAGAAAUUUAUUACUAUAGAAUUUGUUUAGUCAAGUGUACAUAUUAAAACUUUAAGUAUAAAACUGAGCAUUUGAAAUAAAGUGUGCAAUUGAGCAAAAAGGAAAAGCAAAAUGGUAAAACAAAAAAAAAGUAAAAUGAUCUGUCAAAAUAAGAUAGAAUGUGAGUUCAUCUCUGUGGAUAUAAAAUAACUAUAUGAAAUAUAGGCUUUACACAGGAAAAUAUAAGUCCCAGAAAAAUUUAAAGGACAUAGAUGUCUCAGUGAUUUGAUAGUUUGAAUUAUAUAUCUUUGAUAUAAGUACAUAUUCAUGAAACAAAAUAUGAGACUGAAUUUAGCAAUAAAUUAUAUAUCUGACAUUAAAACUGGAUUUUUUUGUUUGCUUAUAGAUACUGAAUAUUUAUGACUGUUAUUUAGUUACCUCUUUUUCAGUGUUUCUUGAGGCUACUUAUUUGACUUUAGUGAAAAAUAUACAUUGAUUUUGACUGUUUCAAAGAUGAAUUGCAAUUAAUAGUUGAUGACUCACUGACCCCCUGUAAAGAAGUCAUUAAGCAGACGGUACAGUGUAACUUAGGUAUAAUUUAGUUCAUAUAAUUUCAAUUUGACACAUCCUAUUUAAAACCAUGACCCAUUUAAAGAUGAUUGAGAAAUGCCUAACAGAGCUAUUCACUUUCCUUAAUUAUUCUCUGAAGAAUUAAGAUUGAGACAGAAAAAAAAUGUGUGAGAUUUUUUCAAUGGCCCUGAAAAUUUCCAUUGAAGAUCGCAAAGCCUAAUCAAAAGAAAAUUAUGAAUGUGUCUAUGAUGGAUAUGGCAUUUUCCUCAGAUGCUGCUGAACGUUCACUGCCACCAUGAUUUGGAUGCUCUCAUUUUAAUAAGUAGUUUUUGCAUUCGCAUGCUCUUUCAAAUCUACUCACAACCAAAAUAUUUUAUAACUAAGAAACAUGAAAUGAGAUAUCUUGACCCAAAUUAUUUGUAUAAUAAGCCAGUGCUUUUUGGGUUAUGUUCCAAAUUCCUAGAUUUAUGAAGUGAAAUAUAUGUUUGCUAUAUGGAUAUAUGUUUUAAAAUACAUAUACAUAUAUAUAGAGAGAGAGUAAAGAUGUAAUGUAGAAAUUUUCCAGAUUUUAAAAAUUAAAUAUAUUUUUUAGUUUUUUUCAAUGUAUUAAUAAUAAGGUCAUAUCAUUUUUAAUAAAUAGUUAGAAUGCUUUUGGUACUGGUUCAUUAACUGAUAAUUCUCUGAUAUAUAUAUUGUUGCUAUCUGCAGUAGAGUGACAAUAGAAGGUUAAAAAUGAGACAAAGAGAAAAACAAAACAUAUUCUGACUUGAUCUUCAUGUACAGAAAGGAGUGGUAUACUCUUCUGCCGAGAGACUGUACUUCUCAGCCUCCCUUGUGGCUAGGUGUGCCAUGUGACUAAGUGCUCAUGAUUGAGAUGUAAGUAAAUGUGAAAUGCAGGACAGCAAUACCCCUUAUUAAAUGUAAUUGCCCAUAAUUCCCUUGUUUUUUACUUUCAUCCCAAAUGAAAAUGGUGAUGACCAGGGCAACACUAAUAGCUGUGUAUCAUGGAUAACAAAGCCAUACCCAAUUUGUUGGGUUCUGGACUGAUUCAUGGAGCAUAGAGUUCCUGGGCUCAUAAUGUAAGCAGAAAACACUCUUCAGUUUUAAUAAGAAAUCUAUAUUGUGGGGCUUAUUAGCUCUAGCAAUGUAGGUUUUACUGUAGCUAAUAAAUAAUUGGUACAUUGGAAGGCUUUCUGCCUGCCACAAAAACCUAAAAAAAAUGUGGAAUAGACACGUAAGUGAGAGUGAAGGCAGUACAUUUAUUUAAAGUGUCACUUCUGGUAACUGGAAGAGCAAACCCCUUGCCUAAAGAGCCUUCAGCUGGAGGAGAGGCUGAUGGAAAGGGCCAGAAUGUUACCAUGUGUUAGCUGUUUAUUGCUGCAUUUAGCUAGCUUAUUUCAGGAAUUAAUGAGCUGAAGGAAGAACAAGACAAUUUCAAGUAGAGUUUGAAGAGAAUAAAGAGUCCAGAAAUGUGGGAUCUGAUGGGGCUGGAAAAGCCACCUUCGUUUAUCACCCUACACAGUAGGAGAUAACCCUGCUGCUCAAAAGAUUUAAUAAAAAAUGUCCAUUAAGAAUUCUCAGCUCAACAAGUGAAUCUAUAGAUCAUCUGUGCAAAAGAUCAGAUAAAGUAUGUUGCUUUCCAAAUAAGUCUAUUAUUUUAUAUGGUUUUAUACUUUCAAGAGCCAUCAUCAAAAUGGUAACAAUUGACACUGGCUUAACAAAGAAGUGAGACCGUAAGAAUAGGUUUCAUAAUUAUUUCCAGAAAAGAGCCUUGGAUGUAGGUUUCCAGCACAAGAAAAUAGCUGUAUGCAGUUAGACCAUAAACUCAUUGAAUCUUCUAAUAAUUUUUUUUUUUUACUAAAGAAAUCAAAUAUUUAGCCUUCAAAAAGUCCCAAGUUCCCAAAUUAGUGGGUGCAGAAGCAGGCUAUGAAAACUGCAGUGCUUCUGACAAAAGAAAUCUCUUUAAUAUUCAUGCAGAUGUGGUGAGGGAGAAUGUAUUACAAGAACAAAUUUUUUCAGAGAGAAAGCCAGGACCGCAGAGGAUAGAGGACAGGAAAUUCUUUUCAAUAAGCAGCGAUCAGUUUUAAGCAAGAAACUUUCUCCACUGGUAGAGCAGAGAGUCUCUGCAAUUUUUGUCCUGCAAAAUUUUAUUGCUCUGAGCAGUGACUGCGUGGUCAUUCUUUUUUUUCUCAAAUGAGACAUUUUAUUGUAAUUUUAAGUAAUAUAUAGUUGCUAUUAAUGAUACGUAGGAAACUUUUGUGAUAGAGAGGACUGUACCCAAAUAUCCUGACAUCUGAACUGUAUACCAUGCCUGAGUGUAACUAUGGCUUGUCUUUCUUGGGAAGUGGGUAGACAUGUUCUAACUUGAGGAAGAAGGGUGUGCAGAUUAUAAAAGAUACUGCUGUCUGUCUUUCUAUUAAUAAUAACUAGCCUUCCUCCAGGGUUUUUUCUGGUCUGUGUCAACUAGGUUUAGAGAUUUCACUACACUUCAGCCAAAGAGAUGUGCACAGAAAUGAGGCAAACAACCUCACAUCGCAUCUUUUCAAAGGAACGCUGCUUGCCCUUUGCUCUAUCUUUUCCCUCUUUUGUCGGAUCUGCUGGACUGUAUUUUUCACGUAUUGUCACAUGAUAAUGUCUCAUUUCUCAUGCUCUUCUUGCAAUUUUAUUGGCAAUCCUCCAAAUAUUUCCUGGAUUCCAAGCUCUCUCUUUAUUAAACUGAAUUGAGACUUGUAACUAAACCGACUGGUAGAGUAUGGUAGAAGUGAUGGAAUAUAAACUCUAAGGCAACUCGUAAAACAUAAUUCUCUUCAAUUUGGCUUUCUUUCUGAGUCAGGAUGUUCACCUUUGGAACCUAGCCACUAUACCGUGAGGAAGUGCAGACCACAUGGAGCCACCAUGUAUAGCUGCUCCAUUCAACAGCCCUUGCUAAGUUCUCAGAAAACAGUCUGUAUCAAUUGUUAAGAUAUGUAAAUAAACAAGCUACUGUAUAGCUCAAGUGUUUCACAAGGCAACGCUGGAAUAAGGAAGGCAGAAAUUUGAACCUGGAUGUCUCUGGAGCAGAGUUCCCUAUCACUUUGGGCUGUUUUCCCUCUUCUUGAACUUUAGGAGUGAGAAAUAAGUGUCUAUCUUAUGAAAACAACUGAAUUUGGGGAUCUCUAAAAUAGUGGUAAGAAAUAAGAUUAAAGCUUUUAUAGCCUGAUUCCUGCUGUCAGAGUUCUGAGAAACAGAACUUUGCCCAUAUCUUACUUUAUACCCCAAUGCCUUGUAAUUAUGAUUUAAUUAAUUAGCAAUUUUUAUUAGAAAUAUAUUCACUUAGAAAAUAUGCUUUGACUUCCCACCAUAUAGCAGAGUCUGGUUCUUGCUGCUGUGAAAAGGAUAAGGAAGAAGCUAUGCAUGAUCUUUGUCCUUGUAUUACUUUCCUAUUGCUGCUGUAACAAAAUGCCACAAACUUUGUGGCUUAAAACAGCACACAUUAAUUCUCUUAGGAAAAAAAUUAGAGUUCUGGAGGUUGGAGUUUAAAAAUCAAAGUGUUGGUUGGAUUGAGUUACUCUUGGAGGCUUGUGGAGUAAUCCAUUUCCUUGCCUUUUCCAGCUUCUAGGGACUGCUUGAAUUCCUUGACUCACAGUGCCUCACACCAACCUCUGGUUCUAUUGAAACUUUGUCCGGCCUCCUCCCAACCUGCCGUCUCAACCUCUAGUUUCCCUCUUAUAAGGACCUUUGUAAUUGUGAUUACAUCACACUCACCUGGAUAAUUCAGGAAAAUCUCAUCAUCUCAAGAUCCUUAACACAAUAAAAUCUGCAAAUUCCCUUUUACCAUGCAAGUUUGAGCUGAGCUUUUGCUUGCCAUCCACCACUGCUGUUUGCCGCCGUCCCAGAUCUGCCAUUGACUUCCACCCCUCCAGAUCCGGCAGUGUGUCCGCUGCACUCCUGAUCCAGCGAGGCACCCAUUGCUGCUCCUGAUCAGGCUAAAGGCUCGUCAUUGUUGCUGAACAGCUAAGUGUCCAGGGUCAUCCUAAUUGAGCUGAACACUGGUCGCUGGGUUCCAUGGUUCUCUUCCAUGACCUAUGGCUUCUAAUAGAGCUAUAACAC
Molecule: long non-coding RNA, 5411 nt
Filed under: Homo sapiens (human)
Lineage: Eukaryota; Metazoa; Chordata; Mammalia; Primates; Hominidae
Description: HSALNT0325968
Source: RNAcentral